GGGGGUGUACCGGUUUCGACGGGGGUAUGGAGGCGGGAUCAGCGGGCGGCGGCGCCUGACCGCCAUAAAACGGGCAAUUUAUAAAUCAAAUAACAACAACACUGUUGCUGUUGCUGCCUAAUUAAAGGCGGCCGUCCGACCCGGAAGGACCGCGAGCCGGGAAGGGCGUCGUUUAGCGGUAAAUGUGCGUACGGUAAGCUUUGCCCGUGCCACACAUCAUGAAGCUCACCUGACCUGACGGCGUGACGGUUUGCCGUCUGGAAGGGGAACAGGAAGGAAGACUUCCGCAAUAAUCGUCUGCGCCCGGAGAACAUCCCGUUAAAGUGCUUUCGGACGGGGGUUCAACUCCCCCCACCUCCACCA
Non-coding RNA from Oscillibacter sp. 1-3, 363 nucleotides. It matches the Rfam family "transfer-messenger RNA". Rfam says of the family: Bacterial tmRNA, also known as 10Sa RNA or SsrA, is named for its dual tRNA and mRNA-like properties. Its role is to liberate the mRNA from a stalled ribosome. NCBI's taxonomy places the organism in Bacteria, Bacillati, Bacillota, Clostridia, Eubacteriales, Oscillospiraceae. The record is from Rfam.